UAUAAUAUCUAAAUAAACGCAAAUAAAUAAUAAUAGAUAAAAACAUAUUUUUAUAUAUGAUUUUCAUCCCGCGCGGGUCUUAAUCUAGUUUUAGUUUACUACGAUGUGAUCAAUUACAUCACUAUAAAGAUUUAUUUUGACUGCGAACAAACAAUAUUCUAUCUAAAAAAUACGACUAUUCUAAAUUUUAAUUUGAUUACUUUCGGGUAAUACUGUAAAUUAGUAGUCUAUUCAUUUUCUCAGCUUUGUUUCAAAAAAAAAAAAAAAAAAAAAUUCAUUUUCUCAGCUUUUACAAAUUUAAAACGCUUAAAAUAUACUCCAGCUAGCUAAUUGUCCUCUUCUUCUUUACACAAUUUCGUCAGGUUUCUUCGAGAAAAAGAGUGGGAACCGAGCGGGGAUAUUAGCCUUUCAAAAACAAAAACAUCAAGAUCAAACAGUUCAUUAAAUUGUUUAGAAAAAUGUGUGUUUAAGUGUUUGUUAACCAUGUAAGAAAAUUGAGAAAUUUAUAUAUCCUUUCUUCAACCUUUUUCUUAUAAAUUUAUAUGUUUUUUCUUAUGUUUUAUUUUGUUUUGCCC
This 575-nucleotide long non-coding RNA is filed under the name Brassica napus (rape). Its description in RNAcentral is "long non-coding RNA (BNAP_LNC009589)". The record is from RNAcentral. Lineage: Eukaryota; Viridiplantae; Streptophyta; Magnoliopsida; Brassicales; Brassicaceae.